UAAUACGUAGGAUGCAAGCGUUAUCCGGAUUUACUGGGUGUAAAGGGAGCGCAGGCGGGACUGCAAGUUGGAUGUGAAAUACCGUGGCUUAACCACGGAACUGCAUCCAAAACUGUAGUUCUUGAGUGAAGUAGAGGCAAGCGGAAUUCCGAGUGUAGCGGUGAAAUGCGUAGAUAUUCGGAGGAACACCAGUGGCGAAGGCGGCUUGCUGGGCUUUAACUGACGCUGAGGCUCGAAAGUGUGGGGAGCAAACAGGAUUAGAUACCCUGGUAGUCCACACUGUAAACGAUGAUAGCUAGGUGUGGGGGGUCUGACCCCUUCCGUGCCGGAGUUAACGCAAUAAGCUAUCCACCUGGGGAGUACGACCGCAAGGUUG
Molecule: ribosomal RNA, 376 nt
Filed under: uncultured bacterium
Lineage: Bacteria
Description: bacterial SSU rRNA
Rfam family: Bacterial small subunit ribosomal RNA
Source: RNAcentral